UUCAUUUUGAUUGUUAUAAGGGCAUGGUAUAGAUCUUCCAAAUCUCAACACCCAAAAAAGAUUUUCAUUCCUCUUCUCUCCCUUCACUUCCCAAAUCCCAUCCCCUUCUCUAAUUCCCACAAAGGACAAAGCUAUAUACCUAAUUUCCUAAAUAGACACUCUCCUAUACUCCUAUUUAUAUUCCUCUUUCUCAUUUCUCUCUCUUUUUUUUCUCUUUGAGAGACACAUAAAAACUGGGUCUUUGGCUGCAUGAAUUGAUUUGAUAGCCAAGUAAAAGUCUUCCUUUUUUCUUUUUUGCCUUGGUUGACUCAAGAAAAAGAAAAGGUUGCAACCUUUUUUUGUUUACUAGGGCGUUUGUAGGGUUUAGAGAGAAUUGAAAAAAAAUGGGAGUUUGGGUGUUUGUGUGUGUUAUUUUAGGUUGGUUUUUGUUGAAGAAGAAGAAGAAGAUUGUUGAGAACAAAGAUGGAAUUCCUAAAGGGAAUUUGGGUUGGCCUUUCUUUGGUGAAACUCUUCAAUUCAUUUCUUCUGGCUAUUCUUCUCGUCCUGUCACCUUCAUGGACAAACGCAAAUCUCUGUAUGGGAAUGUGUUUAAAACCAACAUUUUGGGGACACCCAUAAUAGUAUCAACUGAUUCAGAGGUGAAUAAGGUUAUCUUACAAAACCAUGGGAAUAUAUUUACCCCAGCUUACCCAAAAUCAAUAACAGAACUACUUGGUACAUAUUCAAUUCUAAGAAUGAAAGGAAAUGUUCAAAGAAGACUUCAUACAAUCAUUGGAGCCUUCCUUAGGUCUCCUCAACUCAAAGCCCAAAUCACUAAAGAUAUUCAAAAUACUGUUCAACUUAGACUUGCUAACUGGAAUAACUCUCAAUUGCAUCUUCAAACUGAAGCCAAACAGAUCACAUUUGAAGUAUUGGUGAAGGUGUUGAUGAGCGUGGGACCUGGUAAAGAAUUGGAGACUUUAAAAAGGGAAUUUGAGGAGUUUAUUAAAGCUUUGAUUUGUAUACCUAUUAAAUUACCUGGAACUAGGCUAUAUAAAUCUUUGAAGGCCAGAGAGAAGUUGUUGAAAAUUGUGGGGAAGAUUGUGGAAGAAAGGAAAUCGAUGGUGGGGGAGAAGGGUGCACCGAGAGAUGCGGUGGACGUGCUCUUACAGGAUCACAACGAGAACCAAGGGCUACCCCUGGAUUUCAUCAGCAGUCACAUCAUAGAGCUGAUGAUCCCCGGGGAGGAAACGGUACCGACGGCCAUGACUCUCGCCGUUAAAUUUCUCAGUGAUUGUCCCCGCGCUCUUGCCCAAUUAAAGGAAGAGAAUAUGAAACUGAAGAAGGAGAAGGAUGGAUCUGGGGAGGAGUAUACGUGGACAGAUUACAUGUCUUUGCAAUUUACUCAAAAUGUAAUUAGUGAAACAUUAAGAAUGGCUAAUAUCGUCAAUGGAGUUUGGAGAAAAGCUCAAAAAGACGUGAAAAUCAAAGGAUAUUUAAUACCGCAAGGAUGGUGCGUCCUGGCAUCCUUUAUUUCAGUUCAUAUGGAUGAAAAGAACUAUGCAAACCCACAUGAGUUUGAUCCGUGGAGAUGGGAGGUACAAUAAGAGAGUGGAAAAUGAAAAUUUGUCUGCUACAAACAACCAUAACUUUACACCUUUUGGAGGGGGACAGAGGCUAUGUCCUGGCGUCGAACUAACCAGGCUCGAAAUCUCAAUUUUCCUUCAUCAUCUUGUCACGACCUACAGAUGGGAAGCUGAAAAGGAUUAUAUCAUCAAUUUUCCGACAGUCAAGAUGAGAAGGAAGCUGCCAAUCACAGUCACAACCUUAAGUUCUUGAUUGGAUUCAAUCAUCUCAACAACUUUGAUACCGAGCAGUCGAGGAAAUAAGGCGAAAAAAAUUUGCCACACACAUAUGUAAAUGUAUUAAAUGACCCAAGUUUUUUUUAUUAUACAGCUAGACAGACCCACGAGGGGUCCUCUCUUUUAAACCAUAACUGUACUAAUACAGGAAUUCCAGUUUUACUUUACAUGGAGCUCUACUCUUACCAUUCUGAAUUA
Cucumis sativus (cucumber) is the source of this 2039-nucleotide RNA transcript. It is a transcript of the gene named 3-epi-6-deoxocathasterone 23-monooxygenase CYP90C1, with no coding region annotated. NCBI's taxonomy places the organism in Eukaryota, Viridiplantae, Streptophyta, Magnoliopsida, Cucurbitales, Cucurbitaceae. The transcript has 9 exons. The record is from RefSeq and is a predicted model, not a curated record.